UGAGGAAUAUUGCGCAAUGGAGGCAACUCUGACGCAGCCAUGCCGCGUGCAGGAAGAAGGCGCUACGCGUUGUAAACUGCUUUUAAUCGGGAAGAAACCCCGGGACGUGUCCCGGGUUGACGGUACCGAUGGAAUAAGCACCGGCUAACUUCGUGCCAUCAGCCGCGGUAAUACGAAGGGUGCAAUCGUUAUCCGGGUUCAUUGGGUUUAAAGUGUGCGUAGGCGGGACAGCAAGUCAGCGGUGAAAUCCCGUGGCUCAACCACGGAAUUGCCGUUGAUACUGCUGUUCUUGAGUACGAUUGACGUGGGCGGAAUGUGCCGUGUAGCGGUGAAAUGCUUAGAUAUGGAACAGAACACCGAUAGUGAAGACAGCUCACGAAGACGAAACUGACGCUGAGGCAAGAAAGCGUGGGGAUCAAACA
RNAcentral lists this ribosomal RNA (422 nucleotides) under uncultured bacterium. RNAcentral describes it as "bacterial SSU rRNA". It matches the Rfam family "Bacterial small subunit ribosomal RNA", at positions 355 to 774 of the family's 1533-position model. The record is from RNAcentral.